Molecule: long non-coding RNA, 1058 nt
Filed under: Nicotiana tabacum (common tobacco)
Lineage: Eukaryota; Viridiplantae; Streptophyta; Magnoliopsida; Solanales; Solanaceae
Description: long non-coding RNA (NTAB_LNC001560)
Source: RNAcentral
UUCGAUUACAUGCUUCAAGUUUGAGCUUCACAUUCAAUAAGGUCCAAGAGGCACCUAGAAGUAAAGAUAAAGCAAAAGAUGAGGAUUUCAGCAGUAAGCAGUAGCUCAGCAAAUCAACACAACCACUUUUAGCUUCCUUAAACCAGUUUUAGGACCCAGAUAGUUCAGAAAUCCCUUGAAACUCUUAAACUACUGCUAACAAUGAAACCAAAGAACAAUUCUUAGCAAUUUUAACCCAAAAAGAUGUAGAAACUUUGAAUACCUUUUCAGAGUAUGAAUUUUAUCUUUCUUAGAAGUUUAUGUGCAGAAAAAUGAGGCUUGAAAUCUGGUCUUGAGUGAAGGAAAUGCCGCCUCUUUAUAGGCUUAAAGAAAAUCCCAUGUGCUGAAACAGAAUUCGGAAUAUUUCUGAAACAAAUCAAUAUUACUAACUAACUUAUUGCUAACAAGACAAGUGAAAACAGAAUUAAACGAAACUAAAAAAAACUAAAUAAGAUAGUGGCCUAACGACAUUUUUUUUCUUUUUGUUUUCACAAACAUGAAUCAGAAAAAGAAAAGCGAAGAAAAGGUUGUACCUUCAAGUUCUUUUCACGAUCCAAGCACGAGAUCCAAAUGAUUGUUCUUGACAAAGAAUAAUUAUUUGGGGUGGGUUUCGGACUAUCGAAUAGAAUAAAAUCAUGGAGGAGUGACCAUGCCAGAACCAGUGUUCCUUUUUUAUUUAUUUUCAGAUUCGAUUUUUGUCUGGUUUCAGGCGUAUUUGGGGGAAAUAACUCAUGGAUUUGGAAAGGAGGGGUGAAGGUGGUUGUGUGGUAAAAAUCUGAAGGUGUUUGGAGAGAUUAGAGUUUGGGGACUCCGGUCUUCGAUCUAAAACUAGAAGGGCUCGAUGAUGAUUUGAAGGAAGCAGGUUGGAGAUUUGGGAUGAGGGGAUGAAAGAGAUUCUGGGGUGUUAAGUUGAAGGGGAUUGGAAUGGUUUACGCCAUCGUUGUCGGCCGGUGGGGGGUUUGGGAAUUUAGGGCGGCUAGGGUUUGGGUUCUUAGAAAUUGGGAGAUGAAACGAGGCAG